This 520-nucleotide ribosomal RNA is filed under the name uncultured Pacispora. Its description in RNAcentral is "SSU rRNA". It matches the Rfam family "Eukaryotic small subunit ribosomal RNA", at positions 569 to 1089 of the family's 1831-position model. The record is from RNAcentral. Lineage: Eukaryota; Fungi; Glomeromycota; Glomeromycetes; Diversisporales; Pacisporaceae.
AGCAGCCGCGGUAAUUCCAGCUCCAAUAGCGUAUAUUAAAGUUGUUGCAGUUAAAAAGCUCGUAGUUGAAUUUCGGAAUUUUUUUAUCGGUUGAACCAACAGGUUCGUACUGAUUUUAAGAAUUUCUACCUUCUGGAGAACCUUAAUGUCAUUUAUUUGAUGUUUUGGGAAACCAGGACUGUUACCUUGAAAAAAUUAGAGUGUUUAAAGCAGGCUUAUGUCUGAAUAUAUUAGCAUGGAAUAAUGAAAUAGGACGGCAUGGUUCUAUUUUGUUGGUUUCUAGGAUCACCGUAAUGAUUAAUAGGGAUAGUUGGGGGCAUUAGUAUUCAAUUGUCAGAGGUGAAAUUCUUGGAUUUAUUGAAGACUAACUUCUGCGAAAGCAUUUGCCAAGGAUGUUUUCAUUAAUCAAGAACGAAAGUUAGGGGAUCGAAGACGAUCAGAUACCGUCGUAGUCUUAACCAUAAACUAUGCCGACUAGGAAUCGGACGAAGUUAAUUUUUAAUGACUCGUUCGGCGCCUU